CCUACGGGGGGCAGCAGUGGGGAAUAUUGCACAAUGGGCGCAAGCCUGAUGCAGCCAUGCCGCGUGUAUGAAGAAGGCCUUCGGGUUGUAAAGUACUUUCAGCGGGGAGGAAGGGAGUAAAGUUAAUACCUUUGCUCAUUGACGUUACCCGCAGAAGAAGCACCGGCUAACUCCGUGCCAGCAGCCGCGGUAAUACGGAGGGUGCAAGCGUUAAUCGGAAUUACUGGGCGUAAAGCGCACGCAGGCGGUUUGUUAAGUCAGAUGUGAAAUCCCCGGGCUCAACCUGGGAACUGCAUCUGAUACUG
Molecule: ribosomal RNA, 305 nt
Filed under: uncultured bacterium
Lineage: Bacteria
Description: bacterial SSU rRNA
Rfam family: Bacterial small subunit ribosomal RNA
Source: RNAcentral